This 253-nucleotide ribosomal RNA is filed under the name uncultured bacterium. RNAcentral's name for it is "partial 16S ribosomal RNA". It matches the Rfam family "Bacterial small subunit ribosomal RNA", at positions 524 to 776 of the family's 1533-position model. The record is from RNAcentral.
UACGAAUGGAGCGAGCGUUGUUCGGAAUCACUGGGCGUAAAGCGUGCGCAGGCGGUUAUGAAAGUCAGAAGUGAAAGCCCAGGGCUUAACCCUGGAAUUGCUUUUGAAACUCCAUGACUAGAGUACUGGAGGGGUUGGCGGAAUUUCGAGUGUAGCAGUGAAAUGCGUAGAUAUUCGAAGGAACACCGAUGGCGUAGGCAGCCAACUGGACAGUAACUGACGCUCAUGCACGAAAGCGUGGGGAUCAAACAGG